Long non-coding RNA from Passer domesticus (house sparrow), 2596 nucleotides. RefSeq lists it as uncharacterized. The transcript is spliced from 4 exons. The record is from RefSeq and is a predicted model, not a curated record. Lineage: Eukaryota; Metazoa; Chordata; Aves; Passeriformes; Passeridae.
GUUUUGGUUGGCCCAAGUCGCAUGAGGAAUAGGGUGAGGACAGCCUCAAAAAAAAAAAAAAAAAAAAAAAAAAAAAAAAAAAAAAAAAAAAAAAAAAAAAAAAAGCAAGCCAGUUUUUCUCACUUCAGAACAACCCACCAGCCUUCUCCCUCUCUUUCCCCUAGUAGGCAGAAUCUAUUUGCAUGAAAAAACAACCAUUUAAUGUCAUUUAAUGUUGCAGAUAUUAGACAUAUCAAAAUAAAUGUUUUUGAGAAAUUUUCAGGUGUGUGGUUAAUGCAGCUUACACCUUAGAAUGUGUUUAACUCUUUUAUAGCAUAUAAGCCAAAUUCUGUCUGCUACAUUAGUGUGAACUGUAUGCAACUCCAAUUCCUCAAUAUAAAUGCGUAUGAGCAUACAAUAGAAAUAAGAGCACCCUGAAAUAAAAGCUGAAAUAAAUGCUCUUGUUCAUUAGCUUGUUACGAGAUUCACAGAUGUUAUCCCAUAGAAAAUGCAAUGUUGUGGAGUGUUGGGUAGGCAGGAAAAAUCCUUUGUUUUAGUCCUGAGCUCUAUAAACAUGUACAUCAUGCAAGUGUGUGUGUAUAUUAACACACACACUUGUCUUUUAUGUUCUUUGUUUUCUUUUGCCUGGUGUAUCAGGUUUAAAUGUUUUACUUGUGCUUUCAAGGCCCUAAAGUACUCUGACUCAGACUGCAUGUCUGUCAUUAAUGUCUUGUAAUUUCACCUUGUUUCUCAGUAGUGUUCCUAUUUUGCCCUCUCUCUUAUCCCUCUUCUGUUUUCUAGUAGUCUGCCUUUAUCUAUGGAAUUCCCUUCUUUUCUAUUACCUAGAAGAAAGAAUUUACAUCGCUUCUAGCACCCAGCAAACUGUUACAGAUCCAUUAAGAGAAGAUUCCUGUUCCUGUUCAGCCAACUGGGUCUUCUGCCUAGAACUCCAGCAUUUGGGAAUUGCAUGCUUCCAUGCCCUUAGACACAAAACCUACCAUCACUGAAGGAACAGCAGUACAGGCUGUCCACAGCAUUCCUCUGACCUUUAUUUCGGAAGAAGAAACAGAAAGAAGUCCUCUACUUCUGGAACACUGCUAAGUGGAACAGUUAAUCUGGAAGUUUUGCAACAUGAAUCCCAAGAAUCAGUGAUUGUGAAUGACCUAAGCCAAACUCUGACGUAGAGGAAGCAACAAUGCAAGGGAAAAAGAGGUCCUGAAAAACCUGACAGACAUCACUGAAAUCUGUCUGAGUUCAAGACAAUGUGAGUUCAAGACAAUGUCCUCAUCAGACUGAUUCAUCCUUUAAAUUUGUCCUCAAAACCCUUAUUGAACAUUUUUGGUUGUGUCUUGAGUAGUAUAUCCUUCUUCUUAAUCCUGAGGAUGGAACCAUUGGAAUGGCAUAAAUAGAUGUGUUCCUCGAAAUCUUUUAACAUAAUAGUUCUUCUUCUGACUUUGAUAAAAUCACAUAUACUACUGUACUCAUUGCAGCAUACAGUUGUCAGCUGUCAAGUAUAUUAAUGCACAACCCCUUAAAUGUGAAAAAGAAAAUAACAGCCACAAUUAUAAAAAUGUUUCAGAGAUACUAAAUAAACCAAAUUCACUUCUGAAUGGUGUAAUUAAAAGCAAAUCUUCAUGCUUACACUAUCCUUAUACAAAUCAUAUGAAUGAUAUGGUCUCAGGCGAUUAGUCUUGUGAAACAUUCUUUACAGAAUUUAGCUUUCUUUUAAUGCAAAUUUAGUCACUACUUUGACAGGAUAGCAUUAAUCUGUUGAGGAUUCAGAACUAACAUGCAAUGUAUUCAAAUUUAAAAGAAUAUAAAUACCUGAUGCUCUUAGAACAGGCUGAACUGACUUCAGCUAUAGAUCUCUAGCUAAAUCUACUUACUAAAGCAUAUUCUCUCAGUUAGAACAAAAGACAGAUAACCUUCAAGACCUUGCAGAACUUUACAGAAAAUAACAGGAACUAAAGUGUCUAAAAUUGAAAACAAAGGUCUUGAUGCUUGAGUAAAUGUUCAUUAAAAAUAUUUUAAAAAAGCACGUACUGACCCUCUUUGAGGAAGUUAGGAGUGUAUUUCUUUGGGGGAUGUCUGGAGCCAGAAGAUAUCUUUUGGCUUGAAGGCAUACCAGAACACAAGCAAAGAGACUGAAAGGUUGCAUUUUAAGGAAGUCAGAUGCGUUGAUGUGGCAGUUCUGAACAAAGUGGCCAUUUUGCACAAAAAUCCACACUGAAUACAGAAGGUGUGGUAUUGUAAAUGCAGAUUGUUUCUUUGGUGAUGUGAAGAAAAUGAAGCAAAGAUCUAGGAUGUGAUCUGUGAUACUAAAGUGUAAACUUCUAAUAUAAACUCUCAAAAGCAUUCAUCCUUAUGUGGGGUAUAUUUUGCCCUUAAAUUUGCUUGAAUGCACAAGCAAACACAGCCUUGUUUUGAAAUCGGUGUUGUUGCGCAAAUUCCAGCUGAUCGUCUGCAGUUUUAGAAAGAGCUGAAGUCAGUGCCUGAGGCACAGCUCCAUAAUAUGUAAUAGCAUAAUAACUAAAUUCCAUAAAGAAUCAGAUCAAACGGCCAAUAUGUUCCCCAGAGGCAGCAAUGAGCAUUUUGAUGUAAGAAACAAGGCAGGGAG